Molecule: long non-coding RNA, 583 nt
Organism: Drosophila yakuba
Lineage: Eukaryota; Metazoa; Arthropoda; Insecta; Diptera; Drosophilidae
Exons: 3
Source: RefSeq, a predicted model, not a curated record
CCUCGGUUAGGGUAGUCCAUGCUCGACAUUUCAUUCGUCCGGCAAUCGCCCGCACCAUCAUUAUCUUUAUUGAUUCUCCAGAUUGCCAAAGAAGUUCAAACGAGAUUUCGGAAACGCGUUCCUGGCACGUGAUGGAACGAGCAUAUAUUUGAUUACCAUUUCGGUGCUAUUCAGUGCCACUAUCAAAAUGUGUGGUGCAAAAAAAGUUGGCAAACUCCCGGCGGGCUUUUAAAGAUCUUCCCGUGGAGCGGAAUCCGAAUCCGCUGGACUGAGUGCCGAAGAAUGUGCGUGAGAAGUGCAGGCCAAACAAGCGGAGCAGGCAACUAAAAACAAAACGCACAACAGGGAGCAGCGCCGAAAGACGAGAAAAGGGCUCAAAACGAGUACCAAUGCAGCUGGCCGGCCAGUUGGGAAUUUUCGCCGGUGGAGGAGGCGAAACUCGGCGGAGCAUAAAGGCCAAAGCGCUGCCUAAGAAAAGAAAUUAUUUGCUUAAGCGACGGCAAAAGGACCUUGUCCGGAGCUUCCUUUUUCCCGGAACAAAGCACAACCACCCACUCACACACACCCGCACACCUAUACACAC